Molecule: ribosomal RNA, 253 nt
Filed under: uncultured bacterium
Lineage: Bacteria
Description: partial 16S ribosomal RNA
Rfam family: Bacterial small subunit ribosomal RNA
Source: RNAcentral
UACAGAGGUCCCAAGCGUUGUUCGGAUUCACUGGGCGUAAAGGGUGCGUAGGCGGUCGGGUAAGUCUGAUGUGAAAUCUCACAGCUUAACUGUGAAACUGCAUUGGAUACUAUCCGGCUCGAGGAAUGGAGGGGAGACUGGAAUACUUGGUGUAGCAGUGAAAUGCGUAGAUAUCAAGUGGAACACCAGUGGCGAAGGCGAGUCUCUGGGCCGAUAUCGACGCUGAGGAGCGAAAGCGUGGGGAGCGAACAGG